Molecule: ribosomal RNA, 253 nt
Filed under: uncultured bacterium
Lineage: Bacteria
Description: partial 16S ribosomal RNA
Rfam family: Bacterial small subunit ribosomal RNA
Source: RNAcentral
GACGGAGGGGGCAAGCGUUGUCCGGAAUUACUGGGCGUAAAGCGCGCGUAGGUGGUCGUGUGCGUCGGUGCUGAAAGCGCCGGGCUUAACCCGGCGAGGUGUGCCGAUACGACACGACUUGAGGCAGGGAGAGGGUAGCGGAAUUCCGGGUGUAGUGGUGAAAUGCGUAGAGAUCCGGAGGAACGCCAGUGACGAAGGUGGCUACCUGGCCCUGGCCUGACACUGAGGCGCGAUAGCGUGGGGAGCGAACCGG